RNAcentral lists this ribosomal RNA (497 nucleotides) under uncultured bacterium. RNAcentral describes it as "partial 16S ribosomal RNA". It matches the Rfam family "Bacterial small subunit ribosomal RNA", at positions 28 to 507 of the family's 1533-position model. The record is from RNAcentral.
GAUGAACGCUGGCGGCGUGCCUAAUACCUGCAAGUCGAGCGAACAGAUAAGGAGCUUGCUCCUUUGACGUUAGCGGCGGACGGGUGAGUAACACGUGGGUAACCUACCUAUAAGACUGGGAUAACUUCGGGAAACCGGAGCUAAUACCGGAUAACAUUUGGAACCGCAUGGUUCUAAAGUGAAAGAUGGUUUUGCUAUCACUUAUAGAUGGACCCGCGCCGUAUUAGCUAGUUGGUAAGGUAACGGCUUACCAAGGCGACGAUACGUAGCCGACCUGAGAGGGUGAUCGGCCACACUGGAACUGAGACACGGUCCAGACUCCUACGGGAGGCAGCAGUAGGGAAUCUUCCGCAAUGGGCGAAAGCCUGACGGAGCAACGCCGCGUGAGUGAUGAAGGGUUUCGGCUCGUAAAACUCUGUUAUUAGGGAAGAACAAACGUGUAAGUAACUGUGCACGUCUUGACGGUACCUAAUCAGAAAGCCACGGCUAACUACGUG